GGGGUUGUGGCUCAGUGGUAGAGUGCUCGCCUAGCCUGUGAGGCACUAGGUUCGAUCCUCAGCACCA
Molecule: transfer RNA, 67 nt
Filed under: Marmota monax (woodchuck)
Lineage: Eukaryota; Metazoa; Chordata; Mammalia; Rodentia; Sciuridae
Description: tRNA.Ala
Source: RNAcentral